This 74-nucleotide transfer RNA is filed under the name Sus scrofa (pig). It matches the Rfam family "tRNA". From Rfam's summary of the family: Transfer RNA (tRNA) molecules are approximately 80 nucleotides in length. Their secondary structure includes four short double-helical elements and three loops (D, anti-codon, and T loops). Lineage: Eukaryota; Metazoa; Chordata; Mammalia; Artiodactyla; Suidae. The record is from Rfam by way of RNAcentral.
UCCCUGGUGGCUCAAUGGGUAAAGGGCCUGGCAUUGUCACUGCUGUGGCGCAGGUUUGAUCCCUGGCCUGGGGA